Molecule: long non-coding RNA, 631 nt
Filed under: Homo sapiens (human)
Lineage: Eukaryota; Metazoa; Chordata; Mammalia; Primates; Hominidae
Description: HSALNT0270613
Source: RNAcentral
CGCAGCCCCGCUGGGCGCCGCAGGCUUCAGAAAAAUUGGAAGUGGGGCCUCAGCAGGCACCUGCACCCCAGGCCACCGGGGUCAUCAGGUGCUGGGAUGACUCAUGCCGGCCCUGUCUCCUUUCAAAAGUUGCAAAGUGAGGACUUCCAGAGAACUUUGUCCCCGGACACUGGCCUCCCCCUUGGCAAUGGGCAGUGACUGUCCUGACCUCUGACCUCAGCUCUCUGGCCCUCCUGGACACAGCAGCCCCUUCCCAUCCCCUCGGAUCCAAGUUAAUUAGAAGCUAUCAGGAGGGGGCCACCUGCCCACUCAACCCUCACCCUGCUUCCUGUCCCACCCCCUUCCGUGGCUUUUCCACAGGGCUGGGCCCAGAGUCUCCUCUGCUCCCCAGCUCUCAGGAUGGGGUUCCCAGCAGCACAGGCCCUCGGGGGCCCCAGCCUUGGGCAGCAGGGCGUUCUCUCUGGCCAGCAUCCUGGGCCUUCACUGCUGGUGCUUCCACGACUUGUUUGGCUGAAGUGGUAGUGGUGGGUCUGUAGGCAGAGGACUGAGAGGAUCCAGAGAGAGGUGGGGGGCGGGUCAGCCUGCCAAGCCUGGAGACAAGUCUGCGAAGAGCAUCAGGUAGGAUAGUUCA